RNAcentral lists this ribosomal RNA (916 nucleotides) under Aspergillus sparsus. RNAcentral describes it as "LSU rRNA". It matches the Rfam family "Eukaryotic large subunit ribosomal RNA", at positions 35 to 966 of the family's 3401-position model. Lineage: Eukaryota; Fungi; Ascomycota; Eurotiomycetes; Eurotiales; Aspergillaceae. The record is from RNAcentral.
UAAGCAUAUCAAUAAGCGGAGGAAAAGAAACCAACCGGGAUUGCCUCAGUAACGGCGAGUGAAGCGGCAAGAGCUCAAAUUUGAAAUCUGGCCCCUCCGGGGUCCGAGUUGUAAUUUGCAGAGGAUGCUUCGGGUGCGGCCCCCGUCUAAGUGCCCUGGAACGGGCCGUCAGAGAGGGUGAGAAUCCCGUCUUGGGCGGGGUGUCCGUGCCCGUGUGAAGCUCCUUCGACGAGUCGAGUUGUUUGGGAAUGCAGCUCUAAAUGGGUGGUAAAUUUCAUCUAAAGCUAAAUACUGGCCGGAGACCGAUAGCGCACAAGUAGAGUGAUCGAAAGAUGAAAAGCACUUUGAAAAGAGAGUUAAACAGCACGUGAAAUUGUUGAAAGGGAAGCGCUUGCGACCAGACUCGCCCGCGGGGUUCAGCCGGCAUUCGUGCCGGUGUACUUCCCCGUGGGCGGGCCAGCGUCGGUUUGGGCGGCCGGUCAAAGGCCUCCGGAAUGUAUCGCCCCCCGGGGCGUCUUAUAGCCGGAGGUGCAAUGCGGCCAGCCUAGACCGAGGAACGCGCUUCGGCACGGACGCUGGCAUAAUGGUCGCAAACGACCCGUCUUGAAACACGGACCAAGGAGUCUAACAUCUACGCGAGUGUUCGGGUGUCAAACCCGUACGCGCAGUGAAAGCGAACGGAGGUGGGAGCCCCCUCGUGGGGCGCACCAUCGACCGAUCCUGAUGUCUUCGGAUGGAUUUGAGUACGAGCGUAGCUGUGGGGACCCGAAAGAUGGUGAACUAUGCCUGAAUAGGGCGAAGCCAGAGGAAACUCUGGUGGAGGCUCGCAGCGGUUCUGACGUGCAAAUCGAUCGUCAAAUUUGGGUAUAGGGGCGAAAGACUAAUCGAACCAUCUGGUAGCUGGUUCCUGCCGAGU